GGCAUGUAUUCUGAAUCUAAAGUUGAUUAUAAACCACUUUAGCUCUAGAAUUACUCUGAGA
This 61-nucleotide small nucleolar RNA is filed under the name Mus musculus (house mouse). RNAcentral describes it as "small nucleolar RNA, C/D box 45C (Snord45c)". It matches the Rfam family "Small nucleolar RNA SNORD45", at positions 16 to 68 of the family's 72-position model. From Rfam's summary of the family: U45 belongs to the C/D class of snoRNA which contain the C (UGAUGA) and D (CUGA) box motifs. Most of the members of the box C/D family function in directing site-specific 2'-O-methylation of substrate RNAs. Lineage: Eukaryota; Metazoa; Chordata; Mammalia; Rodentia; Muridae. The record is from Rfam by way of RNAcentral.